CUGAGAGUGCAGCCUCUGCCCGGCCGCCACCCCGUCUGGGAAGUGAGGAGCGUCUCUGCCUGGCCGCCCAUUGUCUGGGACGUGAGGAGCCCCUCUGCCUGGCUGCCCAGUCUGGAAAGUGAGGAGUGUCUCUGCCCGGCCGCCAUCCCAUCUAGGAAGUGAGGAGCGCCUCUUCCCGGCCGCCAUCCCAUCUAGGAAGUGAGGAGCGUCUCUGC
This 215-nucleotide long non-coding RNA is filed under the name Homo sapiens (human). RNAcentral describes it as "HSALNT0318415". The record is from RNAcentral. Lineage: Eukaryota; Metazoa; Chordata; Mammalia; Primates; Hominidae.